UACGUAGGGUGCGAGCGUUAAUCGGAAUUACUGGGCGUAAAGCGUGCGCAGGCGGUUUGCUAAGACAGGUGUGAAAUCCCCGGGUUUAACCUGGGAACUGCGCUUGUGACUGGCAGGCUAGAGUACGGCAGAGGGGGGUGGAAUUCCUGGUGUAGCAGUGAAAUGCGUAGAUAUCAGGAGGAACACCGAUGGCGAAGGCAGCCCCCUGGGCCUGUACUGACGCUCAUGCACGAAAGCGUGGGGAGCAAACAGGAUUAGAUACCCG
RNAcentral lists this ribosomal RNA (265 nucleotides) under uncultured prokaryote. RNAcentral describes it as "partial 16S ribosomal RNA". It matches the Rfam family "Bacterial small subunit ribosomal RNA", at positions 524 to 788 of the family's 1533-position model. The record is from RNAcentral.